Long non-coding RNA from Rhagoletis zephyria (snowberry fruit fly), 108 nucleotides. RefSeq lists it as uncharacterized. The record is from RefSeq and is a predicted model, not a curated record. NCBI's taxonomy places the organism in Eukaryota, Metazoa, Arthropoda, Insecta, Diptera, Tephritidae.
GUAACUUGAGAAUAGAAAUCGCUGUAUCGUUUAGGCGCAUCAAUAUUACAUAGUUACAUCCCAAGCUAAUAAGAGGGAGGUAAAAAUUAAGUAACAUUUCCUUAAAAC